UGGCUGUGAGGAUGACCCUUCAAUUGAAUGCCAGUGAUCACUUUAUACGCUAUUCUGAGCCAACA
Small nucleolar RNA from Melopsittacus undulatus (budgerigar), 65 nucleotides. Lineage: Eukaryota; Metazoa; Chordata; Aves; Psittaciformes; Psittaculidae. The record is from Ensembl.